Molecule: ribosomal RNA, 411 nt
Filed under: Verrucomicrobiota bacterium
Lineage: Bacteria; Pseudomonadati; Verrucomicrobiota
Description: Verrucomicrobia bacterium partial 16S ribosomal RNA
Rfam family: Bacterial small subunit ribosomal RNA
Source: RNAcentral
UGGGGAAUCUUGCGCAAUGGGGGAAACCCUGACGCAGCGACGCCGCGUGCGGGAUGAAGGCCUUCGGGUUGUAAACCGCUUUCAGCAGGGACGAGGCCUUAUGGUGACGGUACCUGCAGAAGAAGCUCCGGCUAAAUACGUGCCAGCAGCCGCGGUAAUACGUAUGGAGCAAGCGUUAUCCGGAUUCAUUGGGCGUAAAGCGCUCGUAGGCGGUCUGUUAGGUCGGCAAGUUAAAUCCGGGGGCUCAACCCCCGUCCGCUUCCGAUACCGGCAGACUUGAGUUUGGUAGGGGAAGGUGGAAUUCCUAGUGUAGCGGUGGAAUGCGCAGAUAUUAGGGAGAACACCGGUGGCGAAGGCGGCCUUCUGGGCCAUAACUGACGCUGAGGAGCGAAAGCUAGGGGAGCGAACAGG